GGUUUGUAUUUAUUACUUUUUCGCGUCACAAAUCUACCAGAAAUGUGAUUUGCACAAACUUCUGCGGACGACUGAAACACGAACUGUGGUGAUUUGCUCGGGGUCACAGAUGCCGUCUGAUUCGUGGUCCCUUCACUGCCGCCAGUCAAAUCACAUAUUCACAUAUUCACUGUGUCAGUGACAAAAUGAAAACGUAGCAAACGGUGGAGGAUCACGCCACCGCUUCAGUAUUGCACCGAUAAUCUUGUCGGGCUCAGGUUGACAGUUAUUUUGUUUCUGUGGUUUUUUGUAAGGCAUCAGAAUUCAUGCAGCACAACCGGAGCUGUUUUUUCAUUUGUUUUAUUUAUUCCACACAUUCUUCUUCCUUGUCAACACCUGGUGGUUACACUUACCCACAAUGCAGCUCAACCCCUGACGGUUUGGUUGGAGAUUUGGGUGCGUUGUGCUGGUAACAGCUCUCGUAGCCUCAGGCGGAGAUGAGGAAGCGGGCUGCAGCAGUUUGUCGUGUUUGGUUGGAGGAGAUCUCUGUCGGAGCUGGAGAGGAGAGGUGGCUCGUCUCUCUCCAUCUCCUCUCUCUGUCGCCGGGAUGCUCUGCAGCCUCAUCAUGGCUCUGGGAACCACUCGAGUCGCACGGAUUAUCGUCGGGAUCGUCCUGCUCCUGUGCAGCUCGUGCGGGACAAGCGGAGCAGAAGAGGUGUGUGACAGCGCGCUGGUGUCCACUCUGCCGCCGUCGUCCUUCAGGAGCUCCUCCCAGCUGUCCAGCAGCCACGCUCCGGGCUUCGCCAAACUCAACAGGAGAGAAGGAGCUGGAGGUUGGUCCCCGCUCAGCUCCGACGGGUACCAGUGGCUGGAGGUCGACCUGGGCGAGCGGACCAAGGUCACCGCGGUCGCCACCCAGGGCCGCUACGGCAGCUCCGAUUGGCUGACGUCGUACCUGCUGAUGUUCAGCGACACGGGACACAACUGGAAGCAGCACAGACAGGAGGACAGCGUCGGGUCUUUUCCGGGCAACAGCAACGCGGACAGCGUGGUUCAGUACAAGCUUCAGCAGCCGGCGGUCGCCCGCUUCCUGCGUCUCAUCCCGCUGGGCUGGAACCCCAACGGACGGAUCGGACUCCGGCUGGAGACGUACGGGUGUCCUCACACCUCCGAUGUGGUGAGUUUGGACGGCAGCAGCAGCAGUCUGGUGUACAGGUCGAUUCCCGGGUGGAGUCCCACGUCCGGAGAGGUCGUCUCUCUGGAGUUUAAGACCCUGAGGAAUUCUGGGACGCUGCUGGAGGCGGCGGCGGCGGCGGGAGGAGGCAGCCUCGGUCUGGAGUUAGAGAGAGGAAAGCUACUGUUGCUGCUCAGACAAGGUGGGACGUCAUCCUCUGAACCCCGGCGUCUCGCUUCCCUCGGCAGCCUGUUAGAUGACCAGCACUGGCAUCAUGUGGCGGUGGAGUGGCGGGGUGCUCACCUCAACCUCACUGUGGACAAGCACAGCGAGAGGGUUCAAAUCCCUGCGGAGUUCGGCCACUGGGACAUUAAACAGCUGAGCGUAGGGGCAGCCCAGAGCCUCGACUCCCUCAAACCACUCGUCUCCAAGAGGAACUUCCACGGCUGCCUGGAAAACCUGCUCUACAAUGGCCUCAACUUGAUAGAACGAGCGAAACACGAGGACCAGCAAGUUACCCUCGCGGGCGAUGUGACCUUUUCUUGUGCCGAGCAAGUUUCCGUCGCCGUGACGUUUCCCGGCCCCCAGAGCUUCCUCCAGUUGCCGGGGGCAAUGGCAUCCGCUUCGGCGGGCGUGUCCGUGGGGUUUCAGUUCAGGACGUGGAACGAGGCGGGGCUUCUGCUCACCUUUGACCUCCCUCAGGAAGGGGGAGUGGUCUGGCUGUACCUGAGUGAGGCCAGACUCCAGCUACAGAUCCACAAGGAUGGCAAGGCCCUGCUGGAGCUCAGUGCAGGUUCGGCUCUGAACGAUGGUCAGUGGCAUUCCGUGGAUUUGACCAGCGGGCGAGGGCGUCUGUCCGUCGCUGUAGACGAAGGGGGAGGAGGCGUCGCUCAUGCCAGCCCCUCAUUUCCUGUCAGCGCCAGGCAUCAACUCUUCUUUGGUGGUUGUCCCGCCGAGGACGACAAUCGGGAGUGUAGAAACCCCUUUGACAUUUUCCAGGGCUGCAUGCGUCUCCUCACCGUGGACGACCAGCCAGUGGACCUGAUCCUGGUGCAGCAAAGACUGCUGGGAAACUACAGCCACCUGCAGAUCGACAUGUGCGGCAUCAUCGACAGGUGUUCUCCCAGUCACUGUGAACAUGGCGGCCUCUGCAGUCAGUCCUGGACCGUCUUCCACUGUAACUGCUCCGACAGCGGCUACAGCGGAGCGACCUGCCACAGCCCCGUGUACGAACAGUCCUGCGAGGCGUACAAGCACAACGGCGACACGUCGGGACACUUCUACAUCGACGUGGACGGCAGCGGACCGAUCGGGCCGCAGCUGGUCUACUGCAACAUGACAGAGGAGAUCACGUGGAUGGUGAUCCAGCACAACAACACGGAGCUGACCAGAGUCCGACCCGCUCCGGGUGUGAACCGGCAUCUGGUCCACUUCGACUACUCCUCCCGCGAGGAGCAACUGUCGGCCAUCACCGGCCAAUCACAGCACUGCGAGCAGGAGCUGUCCUACCACUGCAGGAAGUCCCGCCUCCUGAACACCCCAGAGGGCUCUCCGUUCAGCUGGUGGCUCAGCGGUCCCGGCGCCGGUCGUCUCCAGACUUACUGGGGCGGCGCUCAGCCCGGCAGCCGGCAGUGCGCCUGCGGCCUGCGGGGCGACUGCGUUGACCCGCAGCACUACUGCAACUGUGACGCCGACCGCCCCGACUGGGCUGCAGACUCGGGCCUGCUCACCCACAAGGAGAGCCUCCCCGUCAGGUCCCUGGUGCUGGGUGACAUCCAGAGGCCGGGGUCAGAGGCCGCCUACAGGGUGGGGCCGCUCCGUUGCCACGGAGACAAGAACUUCUGGAACGCCGCGUUUUUCGACAAGGAGACGUCGUACCUCCACUUCCCCACCUUCCACGGGGAGCUGAGCGCCGACAUCUCCUUCCUGUUCAAGACCACGGCCUCGUCCGGCGUGUUCCUGGAAAACCUGGGCAUCAAGGACUUCAUCCGCAUCGAGCUGAGGUCCUCCGCCCAGGUGGUGUUCUCCUUCGACGUGGGCGACGGGCCGCUGGAGGUCCGCGUGGAGUCGAGCGCGCCGCUGGACGACGGCCGGUGGCACCGGGUGCGGGCCGAGCGCAACGUGAAGGAGGCGUCGCUCCGGCUGGACGAGCUCCCCGCCGCCGCGCGGCAGGCGCCCGCCGACGGACACUUCCACCUGCAGCUCAACAGCCAGCUGUUCAUUGGGGGCACGGCGUCCAGGCAGAAGGGCUUCCGCGGCUGCAUUCGCUCCCUGCAGCUGAACGGUGUCACCCUGGACCUGGAGGAGAGGGCGAGGAUCACGCCGGGGGUCCGGCCCGGCUGCCCGGGCCACUGCGGCAGCUACGGCGCGCUCUGCCGGAACCGGGGCCGCUGCGCCGAGAUGCCCAGCGGCUUCCGCUGCGACUGCGGCCCGUCGGCCUACACGGGAGUCUUCUGCCACACAGAGGUGUCGGCCGCCUUCAAGCCGGCGACGUCCGUGGCCUACACCUUCAAGGGGCCGUACGAGUUGGCGAGGAACAGCAGCGCCCCGCCGUCCUCCAUCUACUCGGACGUGACGCCGAGGGGCGAGAACGUCUCCCUGAGCUUCAGCACGAGCCAGAGUCCGGCGCUGCUGCUCUACGUGGGCUCCUACUACAGAGAGUACCUGGCCCUGCUCGUCAACAAGCACGUUAAUGAUUCAAAGCUGAUGGACCACGGAGCAUUAAGGUUCCGUGUUGACCGUGGAGUUGUCAGAGCCGCAGCAGACGAGCUGGAGGUGAGGUACAAGCUGGACAGCAGCAGAGAAGCAGAAGUGUUGCGGAGCAGAGUGAGGAGUCUGGCCAACGGACAACUGCACACGGUUUCCAUCAGGAGGCUGACCGACUCUGUGUCUGUGCAGGUCAACCAGAACGCCAGAGAGGACUUCAACCUGACAUCUGACGGAGAGUUCAACGCCGUCAGGAGUCUGCUGUUGGGCAGAGUACAAGACUCUGAUGAGCUGGAUCCAGACCUGGCCCGGCUGGCGUCGCUCGGUUUCACCGGCUGCCUCUCCGUGGUCCACUUCAACUCCAUCAGCCCUCUGAAGGCGGCUCUGCUCCACCCAGACUCCAGCCCCGUCGCCAUCGCCGGGCCCCUGGUCCGGUCCGGCUGCGGCGCCUCGGCUUCGGCCAAUCCCUACGCGGCGGAGAACAAACACCACCUGACCGACCGGUCUGGUUCAGUGGGCUCAGGUCAACCUUUAGUCAACGCCAUCAGGACCGACUCGGCUCUGAUCGGAGGUGUGAUAGCGGUGGUGAUCUUUAUGGUCGUGGCCGGCCUGGCGAUAACGGCCAGAUUCCUCUACCGGAGAAAAGAGACGUACCGGAAUCAGGAAGUGAAGGGCGUCAAGCCGGAGGACAGCCCAGAUUUCCCUUUCAACAACCAGACCGACUCCCAGGACGCCUCCAGUGAAAACCGAAAGGAGUAUUUCAUUUAACCGACGACCCGGUGGGUGUUUUUUCGUAAGCGGAGGGUGCAGACGAGGGGAAUUGUCCCCGGGACUUCGCGCUGCACUUCACUUUGAGACUUCACUGGCAAGAAGUGGCUCCACAAAAACAUGGAAAGCAAAAGGGGGGGAAAAAAGGGACAAUUCAAACGGUUUUGUCUUUUCCUGUGUAGUGUGUAUAUAAGGAUCCUAAACAGCUUGACUCUUGAGGUGUCGAUGUCCUCGUUUCAGAAUCUGUAAAUAUUCAAAUAAUGUAAAUGUCAUGUCCACCACAAUCUCUAGCUAACGUCACUGUCAUAUUGAAAAAAUAUUCGUUUGGUGGAUUGAAUAUUCAAACACAACUUUAUUUCUUCAUUCCAGUGAAUCCGAAUCGAUCCGGACGUCGAUGCACGUUUCUGUGCGGAUGAUGAACUGAUGUGUCCGUAACUGGAAGUGGAAAUGCUCCGUAUGAGCUGGCGUUUGAUCUGCCGACAGGUGGAUUGUGACUCGACAGAAAAGCAGUGAGAUGAUCCGAAACGGGGCCGCGAGACAAUCCAAGAGGGCAGAGUGUAAUGAAAACACACGCCUCCACGUGUUACUUCAGCUCACCGCUGAUUGAGCGAAGCCGAGAAGCAGAAAACACACGCCGCCGUCUCUCCGCGACACUCCAGAGCGCUGAUGGGAUUUUAAUGAGAAAAGUUGCUCUAAAACUUUGAAGUGCAUUUUUCAUCCCUUUUGUUUUUGCAUCCCUUUGCAUGAGAACACGGCGAAGAAAGAGAAAAGGUUUAUCGAGCUCCGGGGAAGGACGUUUGGUCAAAAGAGCCCACGUGGGGAUGUAGACAGAGGUGUGUGCAGGCGCGGCCAAGGGAACAGAUGUUUGACCUUGAACAUCAGUCGACCGUUAAUUUCUCCGCCUCGACCUCACGCAGCCGCAAACCGUCUGUUGGUGGCUGUUAAGAUGACGGACGGCCGGUUUCAAGCGGACAGGCCUGGGUGUCGGCGAGGGCGUGCAGCUGGAGUGAUGAGUGAGUACGUGUUCAUGUGUUGAGCAGUCGGGUUGUGAUCCGGAACCGCUAACGUUCCUCCUCGCGACGCUCGGAAAACCAUUCCCACAUGACAUCAGGGGAUAAAACGGAUGAAAUCUAUACACGUAAAAAACAAAGACACGAGAACUGAGAAGGUAAAGAAAUACAAGAGGAAACGAGGCCUGUGUUGCCGAGGACAAAAAAAAUGAUCUCAUGAUUACAACAAUGUCAGCUUCCACCCGAGGAGCCUGUAGGACUCGGGCUUCAUUCAUGCGUUUUAAAUUCCUGUAAACCGAUUUAAUCCAAACAACUUCAGUCGCUUAAUUCCCCCUCGGCGUUUGCUGGAAGUGAAUUCUUUGAAUUAACACCGAGACGUGUCUCGGCGGCGUGCGGGCCGCGUGGCUCUGCGAUCGUUUCAAUUCAAACGUGCAGAAUCAAAUCUCCCCCCAAAGAUGAAGAUUCAAAUCUGCUUCUAUCCUUCGAGUGUGUUAGAGGACGUAAUGAGAUUAGCAGGACAAAAUGACAUCACUGAGACUCCUGAGCACCUUGAUCCUUGGCACACAGCCGGGCGCUACAAUGUUACUGCGUUACGACCGCACACAUCUCUUCUUUUCUUUUCAUGUUCGUCAUUAUUUCACAAUUAUGUCAUCAGGGGAAUUUAUUCUCGAGGGGGGCGUUUUGAUUUCGAGUAUCAGACUCGCCGGGCUUGUUUUUUAAAAAUGUAUCCAACGCGUGUGAGGUGAACAACUCGGUUUGUGAACGGCACAAAAACCGACCUCUUGCGCGUUCAGUUAUUGCUCAAUUCAACGCCCCCAUGUUGCAGCGACGCUGGAGAGGGAUUAUCCUCUAUAUGUCACAUAACAGGAAGUAUUGAAAGGCCUAAUGGAAUUCACGCUCCGUCAGCUCCGUCUGAAUCAAAUCAGUCAGCCAGGUCCUCUAACUGCCUUCUUCUCCACAGGCAGCUGAGAGUCGUUGGUAUUGUAGUGUCUUUUCUAACCCACGUCGGAGCACCUGCAAGUUCGUUUCUUGCUCCAAUUCGACGUCAUUUAUGCCGAGUGAUGCAUUGCAGUGCGUUA
Molecule: RNA transcript, 6716 nt
Organism: Scophthalmus maximus (turbot)
Lineage: Eukaryota; Metazoa; Chordata; Actinopteri; Pleuronectiformes; Scophthalmidae
Gene name: contactin-associated protein-like 4
Exons: 29
Source: RefSeq, a predicted model, not a curated record